AAGAACCAGAUUGCCAUUUAUGAACUCCUUUUUAAGGAGGGAGUCAUGGUGGCCAAGAAGGAUGUCCACAUGCCUAAGCACCCAGAGCUGGCAGACAAGAACGUGCCCAACCUUCAUGUCAUGAAGGCCAUGCAGUCUCUCAAGUCUCAAGGCUACAUGAAGGAACAGUUUGCCUGGAGACAUUUCUACUGGUACCUUACCAAUGAGGGUAUCCAGUAUCUCCGGGAUUACCUUCAUCUGCCCCCC
This 246-nucleotide long non-coding RNA is filed under the name Homo sapiens (human). RNAcentral's name for it is "non-protein coding lnc-HSPA5-1:1". The record is from RNAcentral. Lineage: Eukaryota; Metazoa; Chordata; Mammalia; Primates; Hominidae.